UACCAGCACCCCGAGUGGUCGGGACGAUUAUUGGGCCUAAGGCAUCCGUAGCCGGUUCUACAAGUCUUCCGUUAAAUCCACCUGCUUAACAGAUGGGCUGCGGAGGAUACUAUGGAGCUAGGAGGCGGGAGAGGCAAGCGGUACUUAGUGGGUAGGGGUAAAAUCCGUUGAUCCAUUGAAGACCACCAGUGGCGAAGGCGGCUUGCCAGAACGCGCUCGACGGUGAGGGAUGAAAGCUGGGGGAGCAAACCGG
This 253-nucleotide ribosomal RNA is filed under the name uncultured bacterium. Its description in RNAcentral is "partial 16S ribosomal RNA". It matches the Rfam family "Archaeal small subunit ribosomal RNA", at positions 474 to 727 of the family's 1478-position model. The record is from RNAcentral.